GAUGAACGCUAGCGGCAGGCUUAAUACAUGCAAGUCGAGGGGUAACAUGGGGUAGCAAUACUCUGAUGACGACCGGCAAACGGGUGCGGAACACGUACGCAACUUUCCCAAAACUGGUGAAUAGCCCUCCGAAAGGAGGAUUAAUACACCGUAACAUAACGAAAUGGCAUCAUUUUGUUAUUAUAGCAGCAAUGCGGUUUUGGAUAGGCGUGCGCCUGAUUAGGUAGUUGGCGGGGUAACGGCCCACCAAGCCUACGAUCAGUAACUGGUGUGAGAGCACGACCAGUCACACGGGCACUGAGACACGGGCCCGACUCCUACGGGAGGCAGCAGUGGGGAAUCUUGGACAAUGGGCGCAAGCCCUUGAUCCAGCCAUGCCGCGUGAGUGACGAAGGCCUUAGGGUUGUAAAGACUCUUUUGGUCGGGGACGGAUAAUGACGGUACCCGCCAGAAUAAGCCCCGGCUAACUUCGUGCCAGCAGCCGCGGUAAGUGACGU
RNAcentral lists this ribosomal RNA (497 nucleotides) under uncultured bacterium. Its description in RNAcentral is "bacterial SSU rRNA". It matches the Rfam family "Bacterial small subunit ribosomal RNA", at positions 28 to 528 of the family's 1533-position model. The record is from RNAcentral.